AUGAUAGAAACAGAAACACAUACCAUGCAACCAAAUAAUGAAAAGAAAAUAUUAUCUAUAUAUAACUUAUUUCCUACAAAAUAAAUAGAGCCUAAAUUAAUUUUUUCAUGUGAGGUCCACUACAGUAGCUUGCAAAGCCUAGGUAAAAUAUUGGGUCCUAACUAGUAUAAUGAUGAUAAUGGAAUUAACAAGUGCUGCUAAAUGUUUGAUUACGAAACAGCAUUCGGUGAGCAAAGAACAAAUCAGCGAGGGAUAAAAUUAGUAAGUCCUUUAUCGAGCCUCCAAUGAGAAGGUGAUUUCAUUGGUUGAGUUUGAUUCGAGCUUGUCUGAUGAAGAAUUCGCUUCAGUAGGACCUCUAUCCUUAAAGAAACCAGGUUUCUGGGGCUGAGGCAAUUCUUUCUCACCACCCAACAUCAAAACAACAGAUGCCAUGCUUGGCCUUUCCUCAGGAUGUUGUUGAACGCAUAACAGACUGAUCUGGAUGCAUCGUAUCACUUCUGACAGAUUGCACGACUGUUCUAAGAAUGGAUCAAUCAGUUCUGAUGGCUCGCCUUCUUUCCACAAUGUCCAUGCUAAGUUCCAACUACUCUGUUUGUGUUUCCUUCAGUCUGGUCUCCUCCAAAAGUUUUAGCCAUGCCGAAAUCUGAAAUUUUGGGGUUCAUCUCUUGAUCCAGUAAAACAUUACUCGCUUUGAGAUCUCUAUGUACAAUUCGCAAUCUGGAAUCCUGAUGAAGAUAGAGAAGUCCUCUAGCAAUCCCACAAAUAAUGUUGAAACGCUUGGACCAGUCAAGCAGUUUACCUUUCAUUUGAUCAAAAAUGAAGUUGUCUAGGCUUUUAUUGGGCAUGUAUUCAUAAAUCAGCAUCUUCUCAUCCCCUUGAAUGCAGCAACCAAGAAGCUUUACGAGAUUUCGGUGUUGAAGUUUGGCUAUCAGAAUUACUUCAUUUUUGAACUCUUUCAAUCCUUGUCCAGAACUCCUAGAUAGCCUCUUCACAGCAAUCUCUUGUCCGUCCUCUAGUGUACCCUUGUAAACGGGUCCAAAACCACCUUCUCCUAGCUUGUUAUCAAUGGAAAAUUUGUUGGUCGCGUUACUUACUGCAAUUAGAUCAAACAAUGGCAGCUCCAAGUCUUCUGGUUGUUCAUCUUGCUCCUGGUCAUCAUUUUCCUUGUUUUCUGUUUUCUCUGCAAUGAAGUAUAAUCAUAUAAAAAAUUAUUAGCACUGAAUUGUAAACAGUUUUGCACAUCUGUUACAGUAAAUAUUCCAUAUCGUAAAAAUAAGAGCAAGUUCAGAUCACUUGGAUGUGCCAAAACAACAUCCCAAAACCUCUUAAGUUUGCUCUGCUUCUGCGAAUAUAGUAGCCGAUGAUAAGCAUCCCAAAACCUAUAGCAAUGGUAGUUGCAAUUAUCACUGGUAUCUUCACCUUAGCCUCAACCUUCGCCUCUUCAAGAAAAAGCAGAAACUAAAAACAGUUACUUAGUGCUAAAACAAACGGAAAUGUGCAAAACAUAGUUAACUUCUGCGACAAAUAGCAAAGAAAAUGUAGAUUGUGCAUCAACCUUUCAUCUUGACGCUCAAUGCAUGAACAGAAACAAAAAAGAAAGCCCAUACCUAAAUCAGAAGCAGACAUACGAAUAUAUAAAUCCUGCCCAGACGCAGACAGUCUCAUAUCAAUCAGAUCACCAAACCAAAUAGCACAGCCGCUGCCGCGUCCUCUAAUAUCUAAGGUGGUGUAUGCCGUACAUGAACAGUUUUGUAAACAUGUAACCCUGCAUUCCUUAAGAUUCAUACUCCUGUUCACAAAUGAAUGUGUAGUAUCUGGCAGUUUCAACCCAACAAAUUUUACAAAUCCCUCUCCAUUCUCACAUUUUAAUAAAUUAUUUCUUUUACAACCGUCAGACCAGAAUGCUGAUUUCCAAUUUUCUGGCGAAGCUGGAGUGAAACCCUUUAAGCAUUGACAAACUGGCGACUCAGUAGGGAUGCAAUUUCCAUAGGGACCACAGAGGCCGUAUGCGUCACAGGCAUCUCUUGGCACAGAUGAAUACAGCCUCCAAGUUCGUGUUUCUUCAUUCCAAGCGUAACGCUGACGCGAAUAACCGGUUUGAUUCAGAACAAUCCUUGAGAUUACAGAUUUGUUUUUCAGGUUGUACAUGUAGUACACCUCGUUUUCAUUAUCAACAAAACUGAACUCGUAGAGCUGGUUUUCCUUCAAAGAUGGCGAACCACUGUUGCCAAGGCCAUUCCAUGGAGCACUCCGAUAAUAUUUCACGAAGCCCUUCCAGAUAUAUCCCUCAGGAUUACCAUUUAGCACUAUUCCCCAAGUGAAGUCUGCAGGAGAAGGAUCAUCCGGGUUGUUCCAUGCUGAUAGGCGGCGAUCAAGGCCAGUCUUCAAGUCCCAUCCAAGCUUCAUCCCUGGAAGUAACGUAUCAGAUGGAUAGUCAAAACUUUGCCACAAAUAGUUUCCAGAAUUUGUAUCUUUUUCAUCCCUUAAGACCAGAUUCCCAGAAUCUAAGAGCCGAACUAUUGGAUUCUGGGCUACUUUGUUCAAGUUCAACGACCAAACAACACUCUUGUUCUCACUAACAAGUACAAGAUUUCCCGUGCUGUUCAUCAUCAAAAUACCAGAAGUAUCACUGAUUGGAUUGCGCCUGUUUGCAACCCAAACAACAGUUGUAGGAAUUGCCUUGUACCAAAUUCCCAAAUAUCGGUUGCUGGAUUUUCCAGGACUAAAGAAACCAAAU
RNAcentral lists this unclassified non-coding RNA (2737 nucleotides) under Hevea brasiliensis (rubber tree). The record is from RNAcentral. Lineage: Eukaryota; Viridiplantae; Streptophyta; Magnoliopsida; Malpighiales; Euphorbiaceae.